This 464-nucleotide ribosomal RNA is filed under the name uncultured bacterium. Its description in RNAcentral is "partial 16S ribosomal RNA". It matches the Rfam family "Bacterial small subunit ribosomal RNA", at positions 28 to 507 of the family's 1533-position model. The record is from RNAcentral.
GACGAACGCUGGCGGCGUGCUUAACACAUGCAAGUCGAACGAUGAACCGGUUUCGGCCGGGGAUUAGUGGCGAACGGGUGAGUAACACGUGGGCAAUCUGCCCUGCACUCUGGGAUAAGCCCGGGAAACUGGGUCUAAUACCGGAUACGACACUCCGAGGCAUCUUGGGGUGUGGAAAGUUCCGGCGGUGCAGGAUGAGCCCGCGGCCUAUCAGCUUGUUGGUGGGGUAAUGGCCUACCAAGGCGACGACGGGUAGCCGGCCUGAGAGGGUGACCGGCCACACUGGGACUGAGACACGGCCCAGACUCCUACGGGAGGCAGCAGUGGGGGAUAUUGCACAAUGGGCGAAAGCCUGAUGCAGCGACGCCGCGUGAGGGAUGACGGCCUUCGGGUUGUAAACCUCUUUCAGCAGGGAAGAAGCGAAAGUGACGGUACCUGCAGAAGAGGCACCGGCUAACUACGUG